Molecule: transfer RNA, 75 nt
Filed under: Candidatus Levybacteria bacterium RIFOXYB1_FULL_40_17
Lineage: Bacteria; Candidatus Levyibacteriota
Description: tRNA-Gly
Rfam family: tRNA
About the family: Transfer RNA (tRNA) molecules are approximately 80 nucleotides in length.
Source: RNAcentral
GCGGGUAUCGUAUAGCGGCUAUUACUUCACUUUUCCAAAGUGAAAAUGGGGGUUCGACUCCCCCUACCCGCUCCA